GUAAACCUACGGGGCGCAGCAGUAGGGAAUUUUCGUCAAUGGGCGCAAGCCUGAACGAGCAAUGCCGCGUGAACGAGGAAGGCCUUCGGAUCGUAAAGUUCUGUUGAAGGGGAAAAAGAGCGGAGAGAGGAAAUGAACUCCGAUUGAUAUUACCCUUCGAGGAAGUCACGGCUAACUACGUGCCAGCAGCCGCGGUAAUACGUAGGUGGCGAGCGUUAUCCGGAAUGAUUGGGCGUAAAGGGUGCGUAGGCGGCCUGCUACGUCUGGAGUGAAAGGU
Molecule: ribosomal RNA, 277 nt
Filed under: uncultured bacterium
Lineage: Bacteria
Description: partial 16S ribosomal RNA
Rfam family: Bacterial small subunit ribosomal RNA
Source: RNAcentral